This 875-nucleotide ribosomal RNA is filed under the name Acidimicrobiaceae bacterium. RNAcentral describes it as "bacterial SSU rRNA". It matches the Rfam family "Bacterial small subunit ribosomal RNA", at positions 8 to 890 of the family's 1533-position model. The record is from RNAcentral. Lineage: Bacteria; Bacillati; Actinomycetota; Acidimicrobiia; Acidimicrobiales; Acidimicrobiaceae.
AGAGUUUGAUCCUGGCUCAGGACGAACGCUGGCGGCGUGCUUAACACAUGCAAGUCGAACGGAGCCCAUCCGGUGGCAACACUGGUGAAGACUCAGUGGCGAACGGGUGCGGAACACGUGAGCAACCUGCCCCAAAGACCGGGAUAACACCGGGAAACUGGUGCUAAUACCGGAUACCCCCACGAGCUCGCAUGGGCUUGUGAGGAAAGGGUUUCCGCUUUGGGAGGGGCUCGCGGCCUAUCAGCUUGUUGGUGAGGUAACGGCUCACCAAGGCGACGACGGGUAGCUGGUCUGAGAGGACGAUCAGCCACACUGGGACUGAGACACGGCCCAGACUCCUACGGGAGGCAGCAGUGGGGAAUCUUGCGCAAUGGGCGAAAGCCUGACGCAGCAACGCCGCGUGGGGGAUGAAGGCCUUCGGGUUGUAAACCCCUUUCAGUGGGAACGAAAUUGACGGUACCCACAGAAGAAGCCCCGGCCAACUACGUGCCAGCAGCCGCGGUGAUACGUAGGGGGCGAGCGUUGUCCGGAUUUAUUGGGCGUAAAGAGCUCGUAGGCGGCUUGGUAAGUCGGGUGUGAAACCUCCAGGCUCAACCUGGAGACGCCACUCGAUACUGCCCUGGCUAGAGUCCGGUAGGGGAUCACGGAAUUCCUGGUGUAGCGGUGAAAUGCGCAGAUAUCAGGAGGAACACCAGUGGCGAAGGCGGUGAUCUGGGCCGGUACUGACGCUGAGGAGCGAAAGCGUGGGGAGCGAACAGGAUUAGAUACCCUGGUAGUCCACGCCGUAAACGUUGGGCACUAGGUGUGGGGCCUUAUCGACGGGUUCCGUGCCGCAGCUAACGCAUUAAGUGCCCCGCCUGGGGAGUACGGCCGCA